AAAAGAUUAAUUGUCAAGUGACCUAUAUAUUUGAUAUCUUUUCUUCCUUCUUCUGACGUGGCUUCUAUACUUCUUUUACUAUAUCAAAUCUUCCCAUUCCCCAAAACCUUGACCUCAAGGUUUAAAAGCAGGGAACCUCUUCUCCACAUCAAACAAGAACUCCCAUGUUGCCUAUCCUCCGGUUGGUUAAGCCAUUUGAUCAAGACCUUUGUCGCAGCUCGCCCUUGCCUCU
This 232-nucleotide long non-coding RNA is filed under the name Brassica napus (rape). Its description in RNAcentral is "long non-coding RNA (BNAP_LNC026716)". The record is from RNAcentral. Lineage: Eukaryota; Viridiplantae; Streptophyta; Magnoliopsida; Brassicales; Brassicaceae.